GACGGAGGUUCGAAUCCCCGUCGAUCUGAAAUUUUUCUCAGGCCACCAAAUUUCAAAUGGACCUCAAACCCGUCAUUUCACCUCGCCCCUCUUGUGGUGUUCCGAUGGCGUAGUGGUUACCAUUGUUGGUGGCACUGCGUCAUAGGUGUCAAUUAAGUGUCGGCUCUGGGCCGGGGUUCGCGCCCCGGUGCCUGGCACCUCGCUGUGGUAGCGGGGUGCAUAAUAAGACCUAGAAACUGGCUGAAAAGGACUCCAUGACCUGUGGUGGGUCAGUACAGUUUAACCAACGUACGCCUCAACCGUCUCACAAACCCCGGGAGUAUGUUCUGACCACUGCGGUUGGAAGCGGCUGUUCGGAACAGUGACCACAGUUCGCUAACUACUGCGGUGGGAUGAGGAAAGUACUCCCCCAUUUUUAUUUUUUAGUUUUGAA
Long non-coding RNA from Frankliniella occidentalis (western flower thrips), 433 nucleotides. RefSeq lists it as uncharacterized. NCBI's taxonomy places the organism in Eukaryota, Metazoa, Arthropoda, Insecta, Thysanoptera, Thripidae. The record is from RefSeq and is a predicted model, not a curated record. The transcript is spliced from 2 exons.